CAAUAGCGUAUAUUUAAGGUGUUGCAGUUAAAAAGCUCGUAGUUGGAUUUCGGUUAAGAGCGACCGGUCCGCCGUUUGGUGUGCACUGGUUGGUUUUAACUUCCUGUAGAGGACGUGCUCUGGGUUUAACGACCUGGACUCGGAGUCUACGUGGUUACUUUGAAAAAAUUAGAGUGUUCAAAGCGGGCUUACGCUUGAAUAUUUCAGCAUGGAAUAACACUAUAGGACUCCUGUCCUAUUUCGUUGGUCUCGGGACGGGAGUAAUGAUUAAGAGGAACAGUUGGGGGCAUUCGUAUUUCAUUGUCAGAGGUGAAAUUCUUGGAUUUAUGAAAGACGAACUUCUGCGAAAGCAUUUGCCAAGGAUGUUUUCAUUAA
RNAcentral lists this ribosomal RNA (375 nucleotides) under uncultured eukaryote. RNAcentral's name for it is "partial 18S ribosomal RNA". It matches the Rfam family "Eukaryotic small subunit ribosomal RNA", at positions 592 to 976 of the family's 1831-position model. The record is from RNAcentral.